GAUGAACGCUAGCGACAGGCCUAACACAUGCAAGUCGAGGGGCAGCACAUGAGUAGCAAUACGAUGGUGGCGACCGGCGCGACGGGUGAAGUAACACGUAUGCAACCUGCCUGUAAGAGGGAAUAACCCGGAGAAAUUCGGACUAAUACCGCAUAAUACCACGAGACUGCAUGGUUUUGUGGUUAAACAUUUAUGGCUUACAGAUGGGCAUGCGUAUGAUUAGAUAGUUGGUAGGGUAACGGCCUACCAAGUCUACGAUCAUUAGGGGUUCUGAGAGGAAGGUCCCCCCACACUGGUACUGAGACACGGACCAGACUCCUACGGGAGGCAGCAGUGAGGAAUAUUGGUCAAUGGGCGAGAGCCUGAACCAGCCAAGUCGCGUGAAGGAAGAAGGUUCUAUGGAUUGUAAACUUCUUUUGCAGGGGAAUAAAGGACGGUACGUGUACUGUUUUGUAUGUACCUUGCGAAUAAGGAUCGGCUAACUCCGUG
This 489-nucleotide ribosomal RNA is filed under the name uncultured bacterium. Its description in RNAcentral is "bacterial SSU rRNA". It matches the Rfam family "Bacterial small subunit ribosomal RNA", at positions 28 to 507 of the family's 1533-position model. The record is from RNAcentral.